GGGAGUUUUGCUAUUUGAAAAGGGAGUUUUGCUAUUUGAAAAGGGAGUUUUGCUAUUUGAAAAGAGAGUUUUGCUAUUUGAAAAGGGAGUUCUGCUAUUUGAAAAGGGAGUUUUGUUAUUUGAAAACGGAGUUUUGCUAUUUAAAACAGGAGGUUUGCUAUUUGAAACGGGAGUUUUGCUAUUUGAAACGGGAGUUUUGCUAUUUGAAAAGGGUGUUUUGCUAUUUGAAAAGGGUGUUUUGCUAUUUGAAAAGGGAGUUUUGCUAUUUGAAAAGGGAGUUUUGCUAUUUGAAAAGGGAGUUUUGCUAUUUGAAAGG
Non-coding RNA from Paramuricea clavata, 316 nucleotides. Lineage: Eukaryota; Metazoa; Cnidaria; Anthozoa; Malacalcyonacea; Plexauridae. The record is from the annotation of a GenBank genome assembly.